AACGUAGGAGACAAACGUUAUCCGGAGUUACUGGGCGUAAAGGGCGUGUAGGUGGUUUCGUAAGUCUGGCGUGAAAUUGCUCGGCUUAACCGGGCGCGGUCGUCGGAUACUGCGGAACUCGAGGACGGUAGAGGCGUGUGGAAUUCCGGGUGUAGUGGUGAAAUGCGUAGAGAUCCGGAGGAACACCAGUGGCGAAGGCGACACGCUGGGCCGUACCUGACACUGAACCGCGACAGCAUGGGGAGCAAACAGG
This 253-nucleotide ribosomal RNA is filed under the name uncultured bacterium. Its description in RNAcentral is "partial 16S ribosomal RNA". It matches the Rfam family "Bacterial small subunit ribosomal RNA", at positions 524 to 776 of the family's 1533-position model. The record is from RNAcentral.